Molecule: ribosomal RNA, 465 nt
Filed under: Vreelandella stevensii
Lineage: Bacteria; Pseudomonadati; Pseudomonadota; Gammaproteobacteria; Oceanospirillales; Halomonadaceae
Description: partial 16S ribosomal RNA
Rfam family: Bacterial small subunit ribosomal RNA
Source: RNAcentral
CCUACGGGAGGCUGCAGUGGGGAAUAUUGGACAAUGGGGGGAACCCUGAUCCAGCCAUGCCGCGUGUGUGAAGAAGGCCCUCGGGUUGUAAAGCAUUUUCAGUGAGGAAGAACGCCUGGUGGUUAAUACCCAUCAGGAAAGACAUCACUCACAGAAGAAGCACCGGCUAACUCCGUGCCAGCAGCCGCGGUAAUACGGAGGGUGCGAGCGUUAAUCGGAAUUACUGGGCGUAAAGCGCGCGUAGGUGGCUUGAUAAGCCGGUUGUGAAAGCCCCGGGCUCAACCUGGGAACGGCAUCCGGAACUGUCAAGCUAGAGUGCAGGAGAGGAAGGUAGAAUUCCCGGUGUAGCGGUGAAAUGCGUAGAGAUCGGGAGGAAUACCAGUGGCGAAGGCGGCCUUCUGGACUGACACUGACACUGAGGUGCGAAAGCGUGGGUAGCAAACAGGAUUAGAUACCCGGGUAGUC